UUAUCCAUAUAAAGGAUAGAAAACAUCAAGAUUCAUCACACACCAUUGGCAAAUUUCAUAUGAAAUAUAAGAUGACAUACCAAAUCAUACUUGUGACAAAUAUACUCAGAACAACCUGGUCCUCAACUUUUGCUUCUUUCUGCUAGUGUAUUGGAAUUUCAAAGAGCAGUCUCCAUCACCAUGGUCCAGCGCUCAGAUCCAAACCAAAAAGCUGGAUGAUGUUUACUACCAUAGAAAGAAACAUAGUCUAGAUGAUGUUAAUUGUUAAACAAAAAAAUGACAAUAUAUUACAUGGGAAAGAACAUGGCAUUCUUGUACACAAGUGAACCGUAACAAAUUAGUGUCCUAGAUUACUUGGGUAUCAUCUUCACACCUCCAUGAGACUCCGGGUUGUAGCCUUAAAGAUAAGUGUAGACAAAGCCUGUCAGAAAAGGUAAUGUUUCUCCAUUUCAGAUUGGGAGAAUCAUGAGAGAGGCAUGAGAUCACAAACAGUAGCACUGGUAAAUAGGCAAAGCCUAUGAUAUCUGAAUGGGGAAAAUUAAUUAUAUCUAUCUGAAAUGCUAUGAGUUGACAAAAAAGAAUCAGUGAGCACAGGAACAUGCAUCAGGUCCUUCGGAUUCACAUGAGAAAAAAACAUCAUGAUUUUAUCUUGGAACAUCAAACAAUCUACACAAUGUAAAAGGGCAUGAUACCAACUCCAUUACAGCUGAACCUACCCGAUUAGCAGUAAGAAAUUGGAUAAUGCAAGUGCAUGAUCACAUCUCAUCAUUCUAUUCUAAAGUAGAUGGCAAUAAUAACAAUAAUAAUACAAGGUCUGCAAGAGUAGAGACCAUUUAUUAUACACGAAGGCACACCGUUCUCUACCACAAAGUAGGGAAACAAAGCACUAAAGGAAGAGUACAUAUUCCUUCCACCAACGGAUGAAAUUUGCAAAACAUUCAAUAGGGGGUGAAAAACAAUGGGAAAUUGUUCUUCUAAGACUGUCAAAAAUGAUUAUGAAUCAUGGGCGUGUGUCCUGCACACAAACACACACACACACAUAUGAUGUAUUUUUAUUAUUUCCAUGCACUACUACUUACUCCUCUAUAGUUUGCACAUGUCAGGUUGUCACAAAUGAUUAUGAAUCAUCCCGGACAUCACAGAUUGAUGCAACCCAAUAAACUAAAUGAUCUCACCAUUGUACUCUAUUGAUCCAUGGAGUGAAACAUCUUCAAGCACACCUAGCAUCAACUGGCUUUGCGAUAGUACUGCUACUGCAAAUAGAAAGUGGCACCGCUAGAACAUCAGUUUUAGAUAUAUAAUUUUGGACUACAAAAGUAUUGCACAGGGUACUCGACAUAAAGCAAAUGUAAGAAAGCAACUUACAUGGAUGUAUAUAACUAUGGUCCAAUAGGUCUCAACUUUAAUUCGCCCAUGUAAGAAAGCAACUUAUAGUUAGAAAAUUACAAGGAAGCAUCAAUCAUGUGCAUAACAAUCAAUAUUGCUGGAUUUCUACCUUUGUAUUAACAUUUCGCAAUUACUGGGUCCAGGUAAAUAGUUGUGCAAGGACAAAAAAUAAUUUGUUCUCACUAUUGGUAGAGCUUAGAGAGAACACCAAGAGGGAGUUCUGGGAAGGCUUGGAAGACAUGGUUAGGAGUGUACCAAUUGGUGAUAAGCUCUUCAUAGGAGGAGACCUCAAUGGUCACGUGGGUACAUCUAACACAGGUUUUGAAGGGGCGCAUGGGGGCUUUGGCUAUGGCAUCAGGAAUCAAGAAGGAGAAGAUGUCUUAAGCUUUGCUCUAGCCUACAACAUUAUUGUAGCUAACACCCUCUUUAGAAAGAGAGAAUCACAUCUGGUGACUUUUAGUAGUGGCCAACACUCUAGCCAGAUUGAUUUCAUCCUCUCGAGAGGAGAAGAUAGGCGUGCGUGCCUAGACUGUAAGGUGAUACCUGGGGAGAGUGUUGUACCCCAGCAUAAGCUGGUGGUUGCUGACUUCCGCUUUCGGAUUCGUGUCCAGCGGGAUAAGCGUGCCAAGGUCGCUAGAACGAAGUGGUGGAAGCUCAAGGGGGAGGUAGCUCAGGUGUUCAAGGAGAGGGUAUUUAAGGAAGGCCCUUGGGAGGAAGGAGGGGAUGCGGACAAUGUGUGGAUGAAGAUGGCGACUUGCAUUCGUAAGGUGGCCUCGGAGGAGUUUGGAGUGUCCAGGGGAAGGAGAAGCGAAGAUAAGGAUACCUGGUGGUGGAAUGAUGAUGUCCAGAAGGCGCUUAAAGAGAAGAAAGAUUGCUUCAGACGCCUAUACCUGGAUAGGAGUGCAGACAACAUAGAGAAGUACAAGAUGGCGAAGAAGGCCGCAAAGCGAGCUGUUGGUGAAGCAAGGGGUCGGGCAUAUGAGGACCUCUACCAACGGUUAGGCACGAAGGAAGGUGAAAGGGACAUCUAUAAGAUGGCUAAGAUCCGGGAGAGGAAGACGAGGGAUAUUGGCCAAGUCAAAUGCAUCAAGGACGGAGCAGGCCAACUCUUGGUGAAGGACGAAGAGAUUAAGCAUAGAUGGCGGGAGUACCUCGACAAGCUGUUCAAUGGGGAGAAUGAGAGUUCUACCAUUGAACUGAAUGACUCCUUUGAUGAGACCAGCAUGCGUUUUGUGCGGCGUAUUCAGGAGUCUGAGGUGAAGGAGGCUUUAAAAAGGAUGAAAGGAGGCAAGGCGAUGGGCCCUGAUUGUAUCCCCAUUGAGGUGUGGAAAGGUCUCGGGGACAUAGCGAUAGUAUGGCUAACCAAGCUUUUCAACCUCAUUUUUCGGGCAAACAAGAUGCCAGAAGAAUGGAGACGGAGUAUAUUAGUACCAAUCUUCAAGAACAAGGGGGAUGUUCAGAGUUGUACUAAUUACCGUGGAAUUAAGCUGAUGAGCCAUACAAUGAAGCUAUGGGAGAGAGUCAUUGAGCACCGCUUAAGAAGAAUGACAAGCGUGACCAAAAAUCAGUUUGGUUUCAUGCCUGGGAGGUCGACCAUGGAAGCCAUUAUCUUGGUACGACAACUUAUGGAGAGAUAUAGGGAGCAUAAGAAGGACUUGCAUAUGGUGUUCAUUGACUUGGAGAAGGCCUAUGAUAAGAUACCGCGGAAUGUCAUGUGGUGGGCCUUGGAGAAACACAAAGUCCCAGCAAAGUACAUUACCCUCAUCAAGGACAUGUACAAUAAUGUUGUGACAAGUGUUCGAACAAGUGAUGUCGACACCGAUGACUUCCUGAUUAAGAUAGGACUGCAUCAGGGGUCAGCUUUGACCCCUUAUAUUUUUGCAUUGGUGAUGGAUGAGGUCACAAGGGGUAUACAAGGAGAUAUCCCAUGGUGUAUGCUCUUUGCGGAUGAUGUGGUGCUAGUUGACGAUAGUUGGACGGGGGUAAAUAGGAAGUUAGAGUUAUGGAGACAAACCUUGGAAUCAAAAGGGUUUAGGCUUAGUAGAACUAAAACCGAGUACAUGAUGUGCGGUUUCAGUACUACUAGCUGUGAGGAGGAGGAGGUUAGCCUUGAUGGCCAGGUGGUACCUCGGAAGGACACCUUUCGGUAUUUGGGGUCAAUGUUGCAGGAGGAUGGGGGUAUUGAUGAAGAUGUGAAACAUCGAAUCAAAGCCGGAUGGAUGAAGUGGCGCCAAGCUUCUGGCAUUCUCUGUGACAAGAGAGUGCCAACAAAAGCUAAAAGGCAAGUUCUACAGGAUGGCGGUUCGACCCGCAAUGUUGUAUGGCGCAGAGUGUUGGCCGACUAAAAGGCGACAUGUUCAACAGUUAGGUGUGGCGGAGAUGCGUAUGUUGAGAUGGAUGUGUGGCCACACGAGGAAGGAUCGAGUCCGGAAUGAUGAUAUACGAGAUAGAGUUGGGGUAGCACCAAUUGAGGAGAAGCUUGUCCAACAUCGUUUGAGAUGGUUUGGGCAUAUUUAGCGCAGGCCUCCAGAAGCUCCAGUGCAUAGCGGACGGCUAAAGCGUGCGGAGAAUGUCAAGAGAGGGCGGGGUCGACCGAUUUUGACAUGGGAGGAGUCCGUUAAGAGAGACCUGAAGGAUUGGAGUAUCGACAAAGAGCUAGCUAUGGACAGGGGUGCGUGGAAGCUUGCUAUCCAUGUGCCAGAGCCAUGAAUUGGUUGCGAGAUCUUAUGGGUUCCACCUCUAGCCUACCCCAACUUGUUUGGGACUAAAGGCUUUGUUGUUGUUGUUGUUGUUGUUGUAUUGGUAGAGCUUAGAGAACAAAAUAAUGCAGAAAACAGAAACAUGGGACUGUACAUAUUCUACAGAAACACACCACUACACCAUGUAGAUACAACACAAAUCAAUUAGAAGGAGCAACUACUGCUCUGUUUAUAAGAGAAAGAAAUCAAAUAAUGUUGCAAGACAAUAAAAAAUGAUGGUGAGAACAAAAAUGCUAUUGUUACAUUAUGUCAUUCAAGGAAAUACCCCAAGAGCUACUUACCUAAAAGGCAUGUGUGCCUCGCCGCUUGAAGAAUUUAGAACAUUAGUUCAUGAAGCAAAGGAUACAUGAUCUGUUGUCCCUGCUCUUGAUCAGCACUGGAAGUAGCCACUGACACCAUAAAGAUAUGUUAACAAAUAUUGCUAGAGGUUGUACUUGUGCAAGAACUAAACAUGACAUGCCUGCUGAUAUUGAGCACAUGAACUGGAUAGAUUCUAGGAUGAACAGAUUUUUUUUAAUUCAAAGCAACUUCAUAAAAAUUGAAAUACAACCAGAUCUGUCAUUAACAGGUUUAUGAGAUUAUGGUAUGCCUUCUCUUUUAUAUCUGUCAUGAUAAACCAAUAAAUAAUGGGUACAUGCCAUCUGGCAUAAAUAUGCGUGAACUAAAGUAUUUAUGUUCACUGAAACUAAAACAUGAGAGAAAAGCACCUGGUUGUUAUUUGUUAGCAAUCCAUCAAACAACAACAUAUCCAAAUAAAUUUCAGUGCACAUAUAUCAUUAAGAGCAGGUCACUGUGCUUUUUAUUUCCUUUGAUGGUUGACACUAUGAAGAAGUCACAGUUCAAGUUCUAUUAACAUAAGGCAGUAAUUCAAACAGCAUGUAGAAGCCUUCCCAAAAAAGGCCUCUAAAAAAUAAUCAGCCAGACUACAUGUACUGAACAUAAUAACUAACCAGCAACUACAGAGGAACCAAAAUAUUUAGGAAAUAAGAGUAACCUAUGACAUUCCCAUUCAACAUUCUUUUAUACUGUUAAGAAUGACAUUGGUUACUUACAAGUAAUUACAACGGUGCAAGCAUCGAACGACUCUGCACCAGAAUAGAUUCACAAUCAAAUUGUUGCGUUGUCUAGCGCAUAAUCAGAUGCAACUAACGAAUUGAGUAGCACAUGCAGCAAGAUGGAGAACUCACACAUCAAACAGAGGUGAGGUAUGCAGCUUGGGUAAAACACAAAAGGAACCAGCAAGGCAAAUUAAAAACGGUGAACUGUUAUACAAUACAUAUAUAUAGGGUCACUACAUAGAGCAAGGCAAGUAAGACAGAGUCACUACAUAGAGCCACAUGCUUUGCAUCUGUUUCCCCCGGAAACAUAAUUAUUAUAUACCACUUGACGGUAAAAAAAAUCAUAGAGGCUUUAUGAUUAUCACUUUAUCAGAGCCAUGUCAUGCAUUAAUUUCUUAGUAUACACACAUUCAGAUCGUCAAACCAGGACGAAUAGGUGGGUCAAAUGCUUCAUGGAAUACAGCUUGUGGUAGCCCUACCUUCAAAAAAAUGAGACAGAAUGAACUUCAACAGUGGCGGUCAUUCCAUGGGGGGGGGGGAGUAAUCCUACAGUAGUUUGUGGUCUCUUAAAUGGUCACCUCUUUUUGUAAGCACUGGGCCAUGGGGAGAAAAAAUUAAGCAUUUACUGUUAAACAUAUGUGCAUUUCUUCAGUCCAAAGAACAAACAAACGUUAUCUUCUUCAUUUCUUCAUUUGCUUAUAUAAAUUGAGGAACAUGCUUAUAACCGUAUGAAAUAGAAGCAAAUAUAUUUGAACUAUAUCCAGUUGAAAAUAGGAGGACACGGUCUGCCACACCAUACUUGUCCUGGCCUGAGGAUGUUCGAUGCGGUGCAGGCCAAAAAUAGCAUAUAUAUACGAAGAUUUUCGAGUAGCAUAGUAAUAUGGUAAAAAAAUGGUACAUUUUGUAUUAUGAUAUGGCAGACAAACAAAGGGAUUGUGGUUAGCCAAGAGCACCUAAAGGCACAUAUCAUAUAAAAAAUAAUCCUACAGUACUUCAUGAUCUCUUAGGUCAUUUUCAUAUUAUUUAGAAUCAACAAAUGAUAUAGAAUUUUGACCAUCAGAUGUCUAGACCAUAAUAGCUUUGAAAACUCGCUGAACACGAGACUUUUAUGUUAUUUUAUUUCCAUUCUGUUAUUUGAACUGGUCCUUGAUUCAUUUGUAUCCUUCUCUAUCAGAUGUCAAUAAAGCGAUAGAACUAAUAAAAUGGAUGUUAGCUCGAUCAGAUGCUCACAUAGAAAUAAAGUAAUGGACUUCAACACAUAAAUUCAUGCCAAAGCAAAAGCAUUACAAUGGUACCCGUUAUAAACGGAGAGAAACCCUGUUAUACCUGGAUAUAUUUUGGAGCGCCUCAACGCGCUUCCUGACCUUGGCUCCAGGCUCUCGAGCACUCGAUGUGCCAGACCACCAAACCCUGUAGCGUAUUCUGCACAACCACGACAUUGGAUUAGCAUGACUCCACCAUGAAAAUAACCCAAGGCGUCCAAAUGAACAAGAGUCAUCUGCGCAGAACACCAGAUCUCAAAUACGAUGCACCAGCAUGAUCAGUUCUUGCUGCUCAUUACUUCUGGUGACUAAAUCAGAACAAGGACCAAACAAAAUAUCACAUGUUUUCCAUGUAAAUAUAUAGUUGUAUACUGACUUCCGACAAAUCUCAGAGAUUUCUACUCAUCAUCACUUGCAGACAAACUAUAAUUAAUACAAAGGAACAAUUUAACAACUGACGUACUGAGCCAACCAAAUAGACUCGGGAAUAUGUGCCCAAGUACUUAGUCCAAGCAUGAUUUUGUUUCUAAAACCUCCUCUACAAGCACUUUCCCUCAAAAAUCCUAGUAAACGUAUAGAAUCAAUGGGAAACCUCACCUUAAUCAACUGCAUGAGGUUGGCCUUGUCCUCGAACCCGAGCUCUACAUCAAAGCAAUCAAAGAACAAAACUUACUCAGUUGUUUCUCGGAAAAAGGAAAAGAUACAAAAGUAUACAUUCUUAUGAUCAUUUAGGUUACGAAACUUAUUUAGAGGCAUCAUGUCAAAUACAAUAGUACAUCUGCACUAAGAAUUGCAAAACAUGCAGUCUAGUGCCCAACACCUCGGUACUUAAACUGGUAGUCGCAAACCAAAAGUCCAAAAAAACAUUGUAUGAGAAUUUAUUUAUACAAGGCAGAACCAAACAGCCACACCGCGGACCUGCAGUGGCUAAGGUUCGCCUCAGGGCAGAACCGCGAGUUGAUGUCAAUCAACAUUAGUGUUAUAUAUCAAAGUAAGUAAGCUGGCCAUUAAUAAAACAUGGAGCUAAAGUAGAUCAAGUGGGCUACCUUAAUGCCUUCUUGAUUCCAACAGAUCCUGUAUCCAUUUUGAGGCCAUCAAGUAUUGAAUCAAACUCCUACAGUACUGAGAAAUCAAAUCAAACUCCUACAAUACUGAGGCCAUCAAGUAUUCCAACAGAAGUCAAACUAUAUCAGCAUCUUAUGGCUCUAAAGCCAAGAUUGUUUUUUCUCUCCUCACACAUGUAUUCUUGCUACCAAAUCUAAAUCCAGGUGUCCCUAUUGUACUGCAACGUACAGUUCACUGCAAUUGUAGAUGGAGAAUCUCCUACAACUCACUUAUGAAAUGAGAAUUCAAUGUUUUUAGCAAAGUUUGAGAAAGCGCUAGGCGUUAAUUAUGCGUUUGGCCACCUACUUGCGCUUUUCUAGCUUAGGCGUGAUUAGGCGCAAUUAGGCGCAAUUAUGCGUUUUCUAUAUAAUUGUAUGGAUAUGGGCAAAAAAGAGCAGUUUGACAUAAAAAAGUGCUAGAAUGUAAACUGGAGGUAGUUUAUAACCUUGUUCUCUCUCCAAUAUGUUGCCCCUGCCUCUUUGUAUGUUCUACUCUGAUCGUCUCCCUCCAAUGCAUUGUGCAACAGCUAAAUACAUCAUAGAGAAGAUGACAAGAUGUUAGCAGCAGCAACCAACAAGCAAGGAGCAACCGAGCAAGCAAAGCAUUAUAUAUCGGAUUCACCAUUCAUAUAUGUAAAAUGUAAUGUAAUAGGCAGAACAUAUCACAAGUUCACAACUUGAAUGAGCAAUCAAAGCAAACUAGCAAAGUAGCAAACAGGCAAUGUAAUAGGCAGAACAUAUCACAAGUUCACAACUUCACAAGCAAGCAUAUUACAUAACAAAUAAAAGUCUUAAACUUGCUUAGUGCUACCAAACCAAAGUACCACGACCACGAUCCACAAUAGUCUCACCCGUGAAUACUCCAUCAUAGUCUCUUACAUAACAAAUAACAAACAAAAGACAAAUGCAUGAAUGCAAAUGCAUGAUAACUUGAUCACUUAAUGGCAUGGUGCUGCCAACCAUCAUGCAAUGAGCCAAUGAUCACUAGCUCAAAUGCUCAAUGCCUCUCAAUCAUCCUCAUACUCAAUCUCAUCUUCAUCCACUAUCUCAUCAUCAUGAUCGGAUUCAAACUCCUCCUCCUCAAGGUCUCUCACUCUUGCACUCCUCCGAAGUUGGAGUUGCUCUUGUGCUCCAUUGCUUCACCAAGUAGAUCCCAUGAUAUCCCCGUACCCGGAUGAACAUCUCCAUCCUCCUCAUCAAGAUAAACAACACUUGCAUAAUCAUCCCCUCCUUCAAAUAGAAAUCCUUGAGCUUCGGUAGCAUCGGUGCUAAUGAGCACAUCCCAUUUCUUCUUCUCUAGGAGCUUUUGUUUCCUAGACAACAUCCUAUUAUUGAACCUUAUGAAGACCAAAUUGUUGCAUCGCUCCAUUGUGAGCCUAUUUCUUCUCUUGGUAUGUAUCUACAUAUUAAACAUCAUUUUGCAUGAGCAUAUUUAAAAACAAAAACGAGAGACAAGACAAAUGAGGAGACAAAAUUGAAAGAGAUAUACCGAUUCAAAUGCACUCCAGUUUCUUUCACAACCAGAAGAGCUAGAGGUCAGAGAGAUGAUUCUCAUAGCCAUUUCUUUCAAAUUUGGUGUUUCUCCUCCAUAAAGCUUCCACCAACCAACUAGAAAUCGGAGAACAUAUAGCAGUAGCAAGUUAGUAGUAGCAGCAGCAACAAGGUAGCAGCAGCAAAAAACAGCAGUAGCAUGGUAGCAGCAGCAUCAAGGUAGGAGCAGCAGUAGCAUGGUAGCAGCAAGAAAAGAGUAGCAACUAGUGGGCAGGAGCAAGCAAGUAUACCGGGGCUGUAGCUUUUAUUUUCACAUGCUUUUGCAAGCUUCUUUCCAAAAGUUCCUUCUUUGUUUUCAUAUUUCAGAAACUCGUCAUUGACAACCAGCAUGCAAGUAUCAUGAUCAUUUGCAUAGUAUUGUUCAGCACAUUCCUGAAAUCCUUCAUUUGCAGUGGUAAAGACGGAGCUAUCUGCAUAACUGUAGUGUGGGUUCAACACAUAUGCGGCCAUGUGCAGUGGAGAAUCUAGCCUUCCAUUCAUUUUCUUUUCAACAAUGCCCAUAGUAUCUUUGUAGUUCCUCUCCAAGUUGUUAAAUGCCUCCUUCAUCUCCCUCUUUGCAUUCACCAACUCUCCAUACAACCAAGCCAUUGAUGGCUUAAUAUCCCCAUCAACCAAACGAAGAACUCUCACCAAUGGCUCAAACACCUUUAUGCAUAGGAGCACACCUUUCCAAAAGUUAGCAUCCAUCACCGUUGCCUUGCAUCCUUGCCUUUCUUUGUUUUCACAUGACUCAUAUCUUCCCAAGCUCUUUCAACCACCAUAUACCUUAAAGCAUCUUUCUUCUCCAACAAACUUUGCAAUGUGAGAAAAGCGGAAGCAAAUCUAGUCACCCCCGGCCUUAUGAUAUCUCUCCUUUUUGUAGCAACCCUCAUCAAUGCCAAAGUCUUGUGAUGUGCAUAGAUGAAGAUGGUGAGGUUCUUUGCUUGAUCAAUUAUUGUUUUGAAUCUCUUGAGGCUGCCAAUUCAUUGGAGCAUCAAGUUGAUAGUGUGAGUUGCACAAGAGCUCCAAAAGAUCUUCGGCCUCUUCUCAAGCAACAUUUUCUUGGCUCCCAUGUUAUUGGAAGCAUUGUCGGUCACCACUUGCAUCACAUGCUCCGCCCCUACCUCCUCAAUUGUGCUGUCCACUAGCUGAAAUAUGACUUCACUUGUAUGUGACACAUCAGAUGUUUCCUUUGAUUUGAGAAAACUUGUCCCCCCACUACAAUGCAUGCACAAAUUCAUUAUGCUCCUCCUCUUCAUGUCCGUCCAUGCAUCUGUCAUGAUGGUGCACCCAAGCUUUAUCUUCUCCUUCUCACGUUCAUCUAACAAACUCUUGGUCCUUGCAUAUUCAUCACUCAACAACUUCUCCCUAAGCUCAUAUUGAGUAGGAGGCUCAUAUCCAGGACCAAAUUUGCCUAUGGCCUCACACAUUUGACAAAACUCAUCAUUGUCAAGAGCAUUAAAUGGUAUGCCUACAAGCAAAGGAACAAAACAAUGCAAUCAAGCAAUCAUUUCAAGCACAAGCAAGCAAAGAAAUGAAGGACUUCAGAAUUACCAUGUGAAUACACCCAUCUAGCAACAUAUGGUGAACAUUGACCUCUUCUCUCCUUGAUGUGCUUCCAACACAAACAGAUGAUGUGCUUCCAACACAAACAGAUUCUCUACCAUCCCUUGCUUCAUUUAGGGCUGUAACAUGCACAUCAGCCCUCACUUCUGCCGUAUGUUUUUUCUUCGCCACCUUCUUUGCCUCAUAUGCAUCAAGAGCUCUCUGGCAUAUUGCUUUAGCCUCCGGAGUUGAUCUUAAACAUGAAAGAACGCUUGAGGUGGUGCCUGUGAUGUGUAGCUUGAAACGGUUAAUUCCUUCGGUGCUAAUAUGGCCACAAAAGUCACACUUCACCCUCGCCUUGUUUGUGAGAUCACAUAGUUUCCCAUAGUUCCAUCCAACAUCAUUGGAUUUCCUCUUAAGAGCUAUCGGCCUUUCGGACUCUGUUUUGGCGGUGGUGUUCUCUGAUGUUGACAUCCUACAACAACAAGUCAACAACACAAAUUAGCAGCUAGUAGCCACAGACAGCAGUAGCAAACAAGCAACAGCAACUAGCAUUAGCAACAAACAAGUAGCAGCAGCAGCUAGCAUCAGCAUCAGCUAGCAUCAGCAGCAAACAAGUAGUAGCAGCAUCAAACAGCAGUAGCAGCUAGCAACAGCAAAUUAACAGCAACAGGCAACAACACCAAGUACUACUACUUUUACUCUACUAGUAAAGAACACCACUAACUACCACCAACAGCAGCUAACAUCACUUCAGCGGCAACUAGUAGCACCAGCAAAGCAGCAACAGAUAGAAGCUAGUAGUAGAAGGUAGGCUCGAUGGGGAUCUGGGGGCUCACCUGCCUGAAGAGAAGAAGACCAGGCCGCGAGAUCCACGGCGGGAUGAGGUCGAAGGCCAGGAACCGGAGGUGCGGGGGAGGGCCCGAGCAGGAGAGGCGCGAGGAGGAGCUUCAGAUCCACGGCGGAGGGCGUGCUGCUGCCGGCGGCCCCAAGGAGAGUCCGGCGACGCGAGGAAUGGAGGAGAGGAGACCCUAACCCUAACACGGGCUUGAUUUUGACCCUCUGCCUUUCAUCCCGUGGCUCCCUGCCUCUUUAUCCCGAUUCCCCGAUGGAUCCCCUCUCGUCAUUCUGCGCCAUUAAGCGCCCGUUCUGCGCUGUUCCGCGCGCUUAAGCUCGCCUCAGCGAGAAAAGCGCUCCGCCUAGGCACGCGUCGCGCCUUUACGAGCGCACAUGGCCUAUGCGAGGCGGUAGGCCAGCGCCUUGCGCGUAGGCGCGCAUAAGCGCUCGAUUAAGCGCGCUUUCCCGAACUUUGGUUUUUAGAAGUUCUACUACCAUCUAUGAACCUGUUCGACAACAAAUAAUUAUCAAGAUUACAUAAAACAUAAGUAAAAAAAAUAUAGGGGAGGGGGAGGUAAAAUAAGCUACCUGAACACCCAAGAAAUCUGCACUGCUUGUUGAAAGGCGAGUCAGCAAUCAACACCAUGAUCUGUACUUGCAAAACAAAUAAGAAAGCAUACAAACAAAUUAGUGUCAAUCGGGUGAAGAGAAAGGAAAAAAGAUAAAGAUGGAAGAAGAAACAGAAACUGGAAUUUCUAAGGUUCGAGAGCCGGCUGCGUGCCCUCCGCGUGGUCAAACAAAACAAUGACUAAUUUACCUUAUUACUUUUCAGAAAAGUUGUACCAUACUGAAGUAC
This 12336-nucleotide long non-coding RNA is filed under the name Triticum aestivum (bread wheat). Its description in RNAcentral is "long non-coding RNA (TAES_LNC015877)". The record is from RNAcentral. Lineage: Eukaryota; Viridiplantae; Streptophyta; Magnoliopsida; Poales; Poaceae.